AGAGUUUGAUCCUGGCUCAGGACGAACGCUGGCGGCGUGCCUAACACAUGCAAGUCACGGGGGCCCGCAAGGGCAACCGGCGAACGGGUGCGUAACACGUGAGCAAUCUGCCGAUUUCUGGGGGAUAGCCGGUCCAACGACCGGGUAAUACCGCAUACGCUCAUUGGGGGACAUCCCCUGAUGAGGAAACCUCCGGGGGAAAUCGAGGAGCUCGCGGCCUAUCAGCUAGUUGGUGCGGUAACGGCGCACCAAGGCGACGACGGGUAGCUGGUCUGAGAGGAUGGCCAGCCACAUUGGGACUGCGACACGGCCCAGACUCCUACGGGAGGCAGCAGUGGGGAAUAUUGCGCAAUGGACGAAAGUCUGACGCAGCGACGCCGCGUGUGGGAUGAAGCUCUUCGGGGUGUAAACCACUGUUGCUCGGGACGAACCUCCCC
This 437-nucleotide ribosomal RNA is filed under the name uncultured bacterium. RNAcentral's name for it is "bacterial SSU rRNA". It matches the Rfam family "Bacterial small subunit ribosomal RNA", at positions 8 to 456 of the family's 1533-position model. The record is from RNAcentral.